CCAGGCCAAGAAUCCUUGGCUUCUCAGCGAUCGAUUUCCUGUUCUUAACUGUUCAUCGUUGUACGUUACGUAGAAAACCGUCGGAUGGAAACAACUGCGUGGAUCGCCAGCACGUGUUCCCGCAUCGACGCCGCACCGACGUUGCCAGGCAAAUAUUUUCCUCACCGAUGAUUCCAAAGCAGGAUAGAUAAUAAUAAUAAAAAAAAAAAGGCAGAAGAGCCUGAGCUUCCACACUCUUCUUCUCCAUCCCCUCACCCCACCGGACCAACUCUGAUCUGCGAGUUUUCCCCGUGUAGACGGCAUCAAGCCGCACAACUGGACGCCGGGGAGAAGCCAUUCAUCGAUCCGGAAGCCGAGCAGCUGCACGCCAGCGGAAGCAACGCGAGCAGAAGAACUUCGGGGAGCUCCGGAGUUGACGCCGGUGUUCGUCGACCCGGAGGGAGCUCCUGUACGCCGGCGCCGAGCAGCUGCACGCCGGCGCCGAGAGCAGCUGCACGCCUGCGCCAAGCAACAGCACCCCGACGGAACUCCUUCGUCGACUUGGCCUGGAAGCUACUGCUGCGUAGGCGCUAUCAAGCGAAGCAGCUGGAAGAAGUAUAAAGAGCUCUGGAGACUUUUCCUGCGUAGCCUCCAUAAAGUACAGCCUCCAUAGCUAGCUGCAAAGAAAAAAGCCUGAAGAAGCAUAAAAGGUCAGCUUCCAUUUUCCUCACGCCAACUUCAUCUGUGCAUUUUUAGUACUAGAGGUGUUCUGCAAAAUAAAAUCUCUGCCGGAUGGUUUGCACUGAAUCAAUGUCCUCAAUCUAUCAAGACAUCUAUUACCAUGAUUUUGAAGACCGUAGCAUCUAAAUUCUGUUUAAAACUAGGAACAGCUUUGACAGUAUAAUGAUCACAAUUGGCUCUCUGAGAAAAUACUUUGAUUGAAAAUAGCCUGAUGGUUUGCCCUGAAUUAAUGUUUUUAAUCUAUCAAGACAUUGCCAUUAUUCUAGGAACAGUUUUAACAGUAUAAUGAUCACGAUUAGCUCUCUGAUAAAAUACCUUUUAUUGAAAAUAGCCUGAUAGUUUGCCUUGAAUCAAACAUAUUUUUUGUUGCAAGUUAUUCAUCAGUGUUGUGAUGCAUAUCUCAUGAAUUCAAGAUUUGAACCAUGCUGCAAUUAAGCCCGUAUAAUAGUUUUUAGCUUUUGAGUUUUAGAAGCCCUACUUACACAUUUGCUUGCAUAUAAUGUGAUCUCUAAUUAGAUUUGGGUUUAUUUUUUUAUUGUUGGAUUGAACUAUUUAUACACAUAUACAAGAUGACAGUUGCUUAAUUAUUAAUAUCGUUGUGGAAAUCAUAUUUCUCUGGUGAAAAGUGCCAUCAGUUUUAUUUUAGUAAAAGAACACACUGAGGAUUCACAUAAGGGCGCUUAAUAGUCGACAAUUUGGCUUGAUGACAUUUGAAAGUAUUAAUUGUAGAGUCACAUGUGAUAUUGCAAUAGAACAUACCUGAUUCUUAUUACAUUUAUAUGAUAUUGUUCAAAACUUAUAUAAAAUACAUAGCAUUGUUCUAAAUAAAUAUAUAUCCCAUUUAUAUCUUCGUUUGUUGCAUCUAUUAGAUAAUUGCAAAUUACUUUUAGUUGUAAAUUACUUAGAAUCCACAGUGCAAUGGUAGAAUUGUUCUUCUGAAUACAAUGGACAGAAUUACCUCUCUGAGUGAAUAUCUUUCAUUGAUAACAUUAUUUAAUAUGUGUCUAAAAUAGUAUGAUAGAUAAAUUUACAUUUCCCCUUCUGAGUCAAAAUAAGGGGAACAAAUAAAGAAAAAAAAUGUAUUGCUAGGCUUUAAGCUUGACAGUGCCACUGAUUAGUUCAUCUCAAUAUAUACACCUUGAUUAACCAAAAGAUUAUCCAUAUAUAUUGCUAAAUAUUAAGGUAAACAGUGCUAAUGGGUCAUCUAUUAUAAAUUAUCUGUGUUUGUUACAUCUAUUAGCUAAUUGCAAAUUAGUUUAUUUUUCCUUUAGUCCUCUUCUAUGUUUCAUUCGCUGCUAUAUGAAAUGCAAAUCUAUGUUUUUGUUGCAUCCAUUAGUUAGUUACAAAUGUAUUUGCAUCUAUUAGUUACUUGGAAAUUAAUUUAUUUUUCCAUUUGUCAUUUUCCAUGUUUUAUUUUCUACUAUAUAAAAUGCAAAAUUGUCUUUCUUGCAUCAAUUACUUAGGUGCAAACAUACCAUAAGUAAAUACAUAUAUUUUAAGCAUUAUAUUACACUUUUUCUCCCUGUUUUCAUAUGUUUUCCUUGCUGUUAUAUAAAAUAGAAAUCUCUGUUUAUUACAUCUAUUAGUUGCAAAAAAAAAAAUGUCAUAUGUUGAUCGAACUCGAAGAGCACGACGUCGCCGGAAUUGUUCUUUGUCACCAAAUUCAGACAUACCAUUCAUUUAUCCUUUAGGUACGACAAUGGCACUUUAUCUUCUCUGAAAAAAUUCCUAUUCCAAAAAGAGGAGGGAAAAAAAAGUAGAUGCCAUCUUAACUUCGUUUAAAGUAGAUACCGUGCUAACUUCAUUUAACAUUAUUUAUAUAUUAUAUUAAUCAACAACCAAAUUAACAUUACAACGAUAAAUACAUGGCCACCUAUACCAGAACAAGGUUCAACCAGUAACCAAGGUAAUAUUGCUACAACAAAUACAACGACAUCUACACCAGAAGAAGGAAACACACCAUGGAUGUAUAUAGAACAUCAAAAAAGACAUCAGGAUGCAGGAAGAGAUCAUUUUUGUCCUAUAGUAUCUCCAUACGUUGCUACUGAAAAUCGUGCUAAAAGAAGACGUGUUAACCGAUACAAAGCUUUGUCGCAGCAAGGUCAUUCCUAUCCCGCUUACAUAAAAAAUACCACCGUAGACUGCAUAUAUUGUAUAGAUCAAAAUACUAUACGUAUUUGCACCAGGAACAAUUUUCUCCAAAUAAGCAGAUCUUGCAUUUCUGUACAAAUCCUCAUUG
This is a long non-coding RNA of Phragmites australis (common reed), 2959 nucleotides long. RefSeq lists it as uncharacterized. The transcript has 4 exons. NCBI's taxonomy places the organism in Eukaryota, Viridiplantae, Streptophyta, Magnoliopsida, Poales, Poaceae. The record is from RefSeq and is a predicted model, not a curated record.